Long non-coding RNA from Pezoporus occidentalis (night parrot), 1355 nucleotides. RefSeq lists it as uncharacterized. The transcript is spliced from 2 exons. The record is from RefSeq and is a predicted model, not a curated record. NCBI's taxonomy places the organism in Eukaryota, Metazoa, Chordata, Aves, Psittaciformes, Psittacidae.
AUCAUUUCUCUCCCUGUAUCUGGCGAUGGGGGCAAUAGUUGAGCUUGUAAAUAAUUACAGCUCUUCUGUUUCCAGCCUCAGAGCUGAGCUGUGUUUGCUGUAACCUUAGGUUUACCAGGCAGCUGGAACUGUUGACUGAUAAUUGCUGCGAGUUUCUGAUCCUCCAGAAGAGUGAAGAGCCUCCUCCAUCCUCCACCGAUUGUUGGUGCAGUUGCCUUUGCUGGAGUUACUGAAAUUGGUGUUAUGGACACCACACGGAGGGCUGGAGGCUCAGGUGCUGGGAAUUCACGUUGCCUGUGUAAUCACAUCGGGUUACAACCUGGUCUGCUGUCUGUCCUUUUUCAUGGAGUGUUGUUUAAAGCGGAAUCGCAAUCUCUCAUGAAAACAGGCUGUGGGGCUGAGUGAUACUGGAACAAAUGGAAGUGACUGGAAAAAUUGCUCUUGCUCUCCCAGCCAGGCCCAGCUGCCAUUUUGAUUUCUCUCCACCCUGAUGGCUGGCUCUGGACCUUUCCUGCCAUACGCUACUGCAGAGUCAUUAGUUAUGUAUGACACCUAAUGAAGCCCCAAACCAUGGCGUUCUCCAGGAUGCCUGGACCCCCGGUGAUUCUGGCCAAGCAGCAGCACUCCUUGAACCCUUCCCAGCCCCAGCUGCAGCACAGAUCGGGCUGGAAGCUGCAUCUGUGCCUGUUGGCGAGGUCCCAGCGCGGGGCAGCCGCAGCACGGCCGCACUGAGAGCACCACCGCCAAUCCCCACUGGUGGGAACCCCCCGGAGAUGUAGGGAAUGGAGGGGGCAGCAGGAGGGAGCCCUGGACACCAAAGGGGAUUGAAACAAGCAUUGCCCAUAGCAGCCCUGAGAGCUGAGAUCAGUGGCAGGGCUUGACUUUAGGCUCUACUGCCUUAGGCUGGCUCAGCACGCUCGCCGACGAGCUAAACCCUCAUGUAAUCACGUUACUAUUGCUCCCACUGCUUUUAAGAGAGCUUGUACAGAGCUCUUUUACUUCUGCAGUUUGCACAUCCAUAAAAGCUAUCCAGAAUACGGUGAGGUGAGGAAGAAACGUCAUGAAUUUUCAUCAUAUUGGUAUUUCUGACACAAUUUACAUCGUGGCUGCGUCCCUGCUGAGGAGGAGCAAUAAAUACCCUCUGCAAAGCUCAUAUUGCGAUGGAUGGGAGAGGAAACAGUGACCCAAAGGGUGUCACAUUCUGGAAACCCGACCUGGAAAGAAGGAUCCACAAUUAACAAGAUGGGUGAACAAAGAUAAGACUACCCUUAAAAGCUAUUGUGGCAGUGAAGAACAAAGACGGGUGUACACAGUGGAUGGAAGAUAACAAUCCAUAUUGUGCACGUAGGGAGGAA